UUCGACUUUUCCCAAAAACAUAGCUUCUAGAAGUAUUUAGAAGUAAUUCCUGCCCAGUGAAAGAAAUUUUAAACGGCCACAUUUGUGCUAAGGUAGGGUAAUAAAUUGUCCUUUUAUUGAGGACUGGUAUGAAAGGAAAAACGAAGCUCAACUGUCUCCUUUAAUUAAGUAAGAAUUUAGUCUUCAAGUGAAAAAACAUGAAUAAAAUUAAAGGGCGAGAAGCCCCUAUAGAUUUUAAGUAUAAUUGUGUGUUGAUUUAAUAAAAGAAAGAUAAAGAAUAAAGUACUUUAAUUGGGGCACCGUAGGAACAUAAAAUCUCCUAUAGAAAAAAUUUAAAAUGUUAAAACAAGAAAUCCUCAAAGAGAAAAAGAAAAACUACCUUAGGGAUAACAGCGUAAUUUUUCUAAAGAAAUCUAAUCGAAAGAAAAGUUUGCCACCUCCAUGUUGGACUAAGGCAACUGAAUGGUGAAAAAACUGUUAAAAGUGGGCCCGGUCGGCCCACUUACCUUACAUGAUUUGAGUUCAUUACGUAA
RNAcentral lists this ribosomal RNA (533 nucleotides) under Amathia crispa. Its description in RNAcentral is "partial 16S ribosomal RNA". It matches the Rfam family "Bacterial large subunit ribosomal RNA", at positions 1795 to 2621 of the family's 2925-position model. The record is from RNAcentral. Lineage: Eukaryota; Metazoa; Bryozoa; Gymnolaemata; Ctenostomatida; Vesiculariidae.